CCAGAGACCUCCCUGCUGUCCAGUACCAGAGAGAAGAAGGUCAUCUUCCACCCCACCUCCAUCCUCAGCCCCGCCCACAACAAGGAGACUGACUUGGUGCGGUCCCCCAGGACUCUGCCCAGUGAUUGGCUGAUCUACAAUGAGAUGAGUCGAGGUCAAAGGGUGGCGAGCGUUCGCUGCUGCUCUGUGGUUACGCCCAUCACUGUGGCCAUCUUUGGAGGCUGUUCAAGACUGCCUGACUCCGCCUUCCAGGAUCCUGCUGGUCACCGAGACACAGACGCUCCCCUGGAUGAGGUCAGUGACAGUGAGGUGGAGGACUGGCU
This is a non-coding RNA of Labrus bergylta (ballan wrasse), 323 nucleotides long. The record is from RefSeq and is a predicted model, not a curated record. Lineage: Eukaryota; Metazoa; Chordata; Actinopteri; Labriformes; Labridae.